AUUCCAUGAUGAUGGCAUUUUCGUAAUAAUUCUUUAUACCUUUCCCAUGCCUCAUAUAAGGACUUGUCAUCCAUUUGUUGGAAAGCAGUGAUCUCGUUCCUCAACUU
Molecule: small nucleolar RNA, 107 nt
Filed under: Gossypium arboreum
Lineage: Eukaryota; Viridiplantae; Streptophyta; Magnoliopsida; Malvales; Malvaceae
Description: Plant small nucleolar RNA R71
Rfam family: Plant small nucleolar RNA R71
About the family: R71 is a member of the C/D box family of snoRNAs containing the C (UGAUGA) and D (CUGA) box motifs. Multiple nearly identical copies of this snoRNA have been identified in Arabidopsis, and it is thought to function as a 2'-O-ribose methylation guide for 18S ribosomal RNA.
Source: Rfam by way of RNAcentral